RNAcentral lists this ribosomal RNA (1337 nucleotides) under uncultured bacterium. Its description in RNAcentral is "16S ribosomal RNA". It matches the Rfam family "Bacterial small subunit ribosomal RNA". The record is from RNAcentral.
AGAGUUUGAUCAUGGCUCAGAACGUACGCUGGCGGCACGCCUUAUACAUGCAAGUCGAACGCAGUAGCAAUACUGAGUGGCAAACGGGUGAGUAUGAUGUGGGAAUCUGCCUUUUGGUUUGGAAUAACACGAGGAAACUUGUGCUAAUACCGGAUAAGCCUUCACAGGGAAAGUUUUAUACGCCGAAAGAUGAGCCCGCACUUGAUUAGCUAGUUGGUGAGGUAAAAGCUCACCAAGGCAACGAUCAAUAGCUGUUCUUAGAGGAAGACCAGCCACAUUGGGACUGAGACACGGCCCAGACUCCUACGGGAGGCAGCAGUAAGGAAUCUUGCACAAUGGGGGAAACCCUGAUGCAGCGAUGCCGCGUGAGUGAAGAAGGCCCUUGGGUUGUAAAACUCUUUCGUCGGGGAAGAAAAUGACUGUACCCGAAUAAGAAGGUCCGGCUAACUUCGUGCCAGCAGCCGCGGUAAUACGAAGGGACCUAGCGUAGUUCGGAAUUACUGGGCUUAAAGAGCUCGUAGGUGGUUAAAAAAGUUGGUGGUGAAAUCCCAGAGCUUAACUCUGGAACUGCCAUCAAAACUUUUUAGCUAGAGUAUGAUAGAGGAAAGCAGAAUUUCUAGUGUAGAGGUGAAAUUCGUAGAUAUUAGAAAGAAUACCAAUUGCGAAGGCAGCUUUCUGGAUCAUUACUGACACUGAGGAACGAAAGCAUGGGUAGCGAAGAGGAUUAGAUACCCUCGUAGUCCAUGCCGUAAACGAUGUGUGUUAGACGUUGGAAAUUUAUUUUCAGUGUCGCAGCGAAAGCGAUAAACACACCGCCUGGGGAGUACGACCGCAAGGUUAAAACUCAAAUGAAUUGACGGGGACCCGCACAAGUAGUGGAGCAUGUGGUUUAAUUCGAAGAUACGCGCAGAACCUUACCAACACUUGACAUGUUCGUCGCGACUUUAAGAGAUUAAAGUUUUCGGUUCGGCCGGACGAAACACAGGUGCUGCAUGGCUGUCGUCAGCUCGUGUCGUGAGAUGUUGGGUUAAGUCCCGCAACGAGCGCAACCCUCACUUUUAGUUGCCAUCAUUAAGUUGGGCACUCUGAAAGAACUGCCAGUGAUAAGCUGGAGGAAGGUGGGGAUGACGUCAAGUCCUCAUGGCCCUUACGUGUUGGGCUACACACGUGCUACAAUGGUAUCUACAACAGGAAGCAAAACGGCGACGUUAAGCAAAUCCUUAAAAGAUACCUCAGUUCGGAUUGCACUCUGCAACUCGAGUGCAUGAAGCUGGAAUUACUAGUAAUCGUGGAUCAGCGUGCCACGGUGAAUGCGUUCCCGGGUCUUGUACACACCG